UAAAUAAACAAAGCAAAAAAUCACAGUUGAGGGAUUCUGGAGAGAGGGCUCAGCAAUUAAGAGCAUUUGCUGUUUCUAAUACUCACAUUGAGUAACUCGGAACUGCAACAGUUAUACUAGAUGGAGGGGAUCAAAUACUCUCUUCUUACUUGCAUGAUGCUUUCUCUCAUGUGCACUGAAUCUGCACAUACAUAAUUUUCAAUGAGAUAAAUCUUUUUCAAAAAACUGAAAAAGUACAAAAUUUGAUUAAGUACUGACACAAAGGUAUUUCCUCAUGACCAAAUCCAACACAAAUCAAUAUUUAAUGCUUUCUCAGUUAUUUGCUUUGGGUGGUGGGAAGACAAUGAAAGAUCAACAAAGGUUGAGAAUUUACAAUUUCUAAGUAGAUAGAAUGCUUGGGUAUGGCUAAAUUCAGAGGAAUGUAAAGGCUUCCCAGAGCUUUCCAUUUUGAAUUUCAUAGCUCACAUUAACGGUGGGCAGCAGGUAACUGAAGAUUAUUUCUUUUCCUUUCUUCUGGCAUUCAUUCUGGGUUAUAGAAGAAAGGGCCGAGGAUGAGCUCUUGCAACUGUAAUUUGUCUUUAUUAUAGAGAAUAACAAGGAUGUUAUUCCUGGUCUCCAUGGAGAGCAUCAUCCCACAGUUCACCUCAAGAACUACAAUAAAAAUGUAGCAUGUGAGAGGCUGUAUUUCAUGUAUUUCAAGCAUGGUGAAUGAGAAAGAUGCCCUCACAUCCUUCUACUCUGUAUCCUUGAUAAAUCUCAUGGACUUGUCUGAAUUCUGUAUAAUUUUUCCAAAAUCCACACCGGAAAACCCUCGUCCUGGUAAUCUCAAAGUAUAUAUAAAAAAAAGUAUAUUUACCCACUUGCCAGGUACUGGUGUGAGUCAGAGAUUGGCUUGUGACUGCAUGCCAAUAUACUUUAGAACCCAUCCCUACUGAAAUGACAAGUGCGAACGUCGCACUUGCUGGGAACUGGGAAUAAAGCCAUCACUUCAGGAGACGAUGAGGAAAUAGCAUUUUAUUUCUUACAAAUUUAUAGCCAAGACAAUAAAUCACUCCAUAGAAAAAUUUAAAACAAGAUACAUUUUUGUGACCUUCAUAACAGAUGGUGUCAUUAGUACAAUAGUGAAAACUGCCUGCUGGGGUAUCAGGUUGCAGCAUUUUUUCAGGCUUGAUGUAUGAAGAGUAAAGUCAGUAAUGGAAUGCGGCCUUAACCCCUGACAGAAAUUGUCUUUGAAAAUGACCAAAAGAGAUAUGCUUAGUGGCCAUGUUGCCCCUAAGUUUAGCUACCUUUGCAGAAUAUAUGGUGACAUUUAUAAUGAUUUAUGUUCAUUUAUUGGCUUAGGGGUUUGUUUAUUUAUAUAUUUAUUUAUUUAUUUAUUUAUUUAGCUCCGUGGUGACACAAUAAUGUGUUCUUCUUGACAACGUUACCCUAGAUUCAAGUAAUCACUCCAUAUUUUUAGAGACACGAUUAUGGAACACAUCUUUAAAUGUAUCUUUAACCUGUCGUGGUGAUAUUGCUGCAUCCAGGUCAUUAGUAAGUUUAGGGUGCCCUUCUUCAUUCAUCUGUUCCUCUGCUACAUCCUUUCUGACUGUUCAGAAAAGAGAACAGGAAAAUGCUAUACUUGUCAAGACCAACCUUAACGUAGUGUUCUAGUUGACAUUCCCAGAUGGCUGCUAGCCAGAUCUGUAGGCAAGAAUUGCUCAUUUAUGAAACUAUAUAAAUGUUUUUGCUGUGAUAGUCAUCACAGAUUAGAUAGGUGAGUAGGUGGUAGAUUAAAUCAGAUU
RNAcentral lists this long non-coding RNA (1784 nucleotides) under Mus musculus (house mouse). RNAcentral describes it as "long non-coding RNA chr14:123967267-123969051". The record is from RNAcentral. Lineage: Eukaryota; Metazoa; Chordata; Mammalia; Rodentia; Muridae.